GCAUCCUGGCGGCGAUCGGCGAACGGGUGAGUAAUACAUCCGAAGAUGUCCUGUAGUGGGGGAUAGCCCGGCGAAAGCCGGAUUAAUACCGCAUACGAUCUACGGAUGAAAGCGGGGGAUCGCAAGACCUCGCGCUAUAGGGGCGGCCGAUGGCGGAUUUGCUAGUUGGUGGGGUAAAGGCCCACCAAGGCGACGAUCCGUAGCUGGUCUGAGAGGACGACCAGCCACACUGGGACUGAGACACGGUCUUAGACUCCUACGGGAGGCAGCCCUGGGGAAUUUUGGACAAUGGGCGCAAGCCUGAUCCAGCAAUGCCGCGUGUGUGAAGAAGGCCUUCGGGUUGUAAAGCACUUUUGUCCGGAAAGAAAUCCUCUGGGUUAAUACCCCGGGGGGAUGACGGUACCGGAAGAAUAAGCACCGGCUAACUACGUGCCAGCAGCCGCGGUAAUACGUAGGGUGCGAGCGUUAAUCGGAAUUACUGGGCGUAAAGCGUGCGCAGGCGGUGAUGUAAGACCGAUGUGAAAUCCCCGGGCUUAACCUGGGAACUGCAUUGGUGACUGCAUCGCUGGAGUAUGGCAGAGGGGGGUAGAAUCCACGUGUAGCAGUGAAAUGCGUAGAGAUGUGGAGGAAUACCGAUGGCGAAGGCAGCCCCCUGGGCCAAUACUGACGCUCAUGCA
Molecule: ribosomal RNA, 677 nt
Filed under: Burkholderia sp. Gc174
Lineage: Bacteria; Pseudomonadati; Pseudomonadota; Betaproteobacteria; Burkholderiales; Burkholderiaceae
Description: bacterial SSU rRNA
Rfam family: Bacterial small subunit ribosomal RNA
Source: RNAcentral